UACCCUCGUGUAAGCCGUUUGUAUAUGUUUCCGCUAGUGCUUUUCUCUAUUGAUGAAAAUGUACAUGUGAUGAGCCUUGGGCGGACAGGGGAAACUCUGUCCGUUCGGCGUCUGUUUGACGUGCUCGGGUCGGGCCAAAUUGGCAUCGGUCCCGGGGCGUGACAGAUAUCGUGGUAUCAGAGCCAAGAGUGAAAGAAUAGGAAUAGACCUAGAGACCCUUAGGAUUGGAAGGCCUUAAGGAUCUAGGGAACGUGAGUGACGUGGGAUCAAAGUUAGCGAAAGCAUGUGAUUGGGUUAAGUUGGAACGUCUCUAAUGUGAUUAGAGGCUAAGUUUAAUUUUCGUUUAUCCUCUACUUCUAGUGUUGUGUCGGGCGGCCGACGACAUGACGCUUGAGGCAGGGAUGAAUGUGCAUGUUGCUUUCGCCUAAUUGGGUAUGGUCAAGUAAUGUUGGUCAAGUGACUAAUGCGAGUUGCUUCUUUUCAGGAAGCAAUGGCACCUCGACGUCGAUCGCAGACAAGGUCGAUGCCGGAGGAAACGAAUGCGGUGCCCGAGCAAUCCGGAGCAAGUGGCGACGGAGAGCUUAGGGAACAAAUGGCCGCGCUUAUUGGCGUAGUGCGGCAGCAAGCGGAGUCUGUUCAACGCCAAGGGGAACAGAUUCAGCGGCUCCAGGAGACCUUGGAGCGCCAGCAGGCGGCGGCGGCCCAGGCGGGUGUCGAGCAUGUCGCGCCCCCUGUGGUAGUGCCGAGUGUUGUGGAGGGAGCGGCGGCAGCAGCGGCUGUUCCAGUUACGGUA
Molecule: long non-coding RNA, 793 nt
Filed under: Ananas comosus (pineapple)
Lineage: Eukaryota; Viridiplantae; Streptophyta; Magnoliopsida; Poales; Bromeliaceae
Description: long non-coding RNA (ACOM_LNC028154)
Source: RNAcentral